AGUGAACGCUGGCGGUAGGCCUAACACAUGCAAGUCGAACGGCAGCACAGUAAGAGCUUGCUCUUACGGGUGGCGAGUGGCGGACGGGUGAGGAAUACAUCGGAAUCUACUUUUUCGUGGGGGAUAACGUAGGGAAACUUACGCUAAUACCGCAUACGACCUACGGGUGAAAGCAGGGGAUCUUCGGACCUUGCGCGGUUGAAUGAGCCGAUGUCGGAUUAGCUAGUUGGCGGGGUAAAGGCCCACCAAGGCGACGAUCCGUAGCUGGUCUGAGAGGAUGAUCAGCCACACUGGAACUGAGACACGGUCCAGACUCCUACGGGAGGCAGCAGUGGGGAAUAUUGGACAAUGGGCGCAAGCCUGAUCCAGCCAUACCGCGUGGGUGAAGAAGGCCUUCGGGUUGUAAAGCCCUUUUGUUGGGAAAGAAAAGCAGCAGGUUAAUACCCCGCUGUUCUGACGGUACCCAAAGAAGAAGCACCGGCUAACUUCGUG
RNAcentral lists this ribosomal RNA (492 nucleotides) under uncultured bacterium. RNAcentral describes it as "partial 16S ribosomal RNA". It matches the Rfam family "Bacterial small subunit ribosomal RNA", at positions 29 to 507 of the family's 1533-position model. The record is from RNAcentral.